RNAcentral lists this ribosomal RNA (595 nucleotides) under uncultured bacterium. RNAcentral describes it as "bacterial SSU rRNA". It matches the Rfam family "Bacterial small subunit ribosomal RNA", at positions 78 to 705 of the family's 1533-position model. The record is from RNAcentral.
CUCUCGGUUUGAUAUGCUGAGUGGCGGACGGGUGAGUAACGCGUGGGUACCUGCCUUGUACUGGGGGAUAGCAGCUGGAAACGGCUGGUAAUACCGCAUAAGGUUGCAUGACAAAAACUCCGGUGGUAUAAGAUGGACCCGCGUCUGAUUAGCUAGUUGGUGAGAUAACAGCCCACCAAGGCGACGAUCAGUAGCCGACCUGAGAGGGUGACCGGCCACAUUGGGACUGAGACACGGCCCAGACUCCUACGGGAGGCAGCAGUGGGGAAUAUUGCACAAUGGAGGAAACUCUGAUGCAGCGACGCCGCGUGAGUGAAGAAGUAAUUCGUUAUGUAAAGCUCUAUCAGCAGGGAAGAUAGUGACGGUACCUGACUAAGAAGCUCCGGCUAAAUACGUGCCAGCAGCCGCGGUAAUACGUAUGGAGCAAGCGUUAUCCGGAUUUACUGGGUGUAAAGGGGGUGUAGGUGGCCAUGCAAGUCAGAAGUGAAAAUCCGGGGCUCAACCCCGGAACUGCUUUUGAAACUGUAAGGCUGGAGUGCAGGAGGGGUGAGUGGAAUUCCUAGUGUAGCGGUGAAAUGCGUAGAUAUUAGGAGGA